GACGAACGCUGGCGGCGUGCUUAACACAUGCAAGUCGAACGGAAAGGCCCUGCUUUUGUGGGGUGCUCGAGUGGCGAACGGGUGAGUAACACGUGAGUAACCUGCCCUUGACUUUGGGAUAACUUCAGGAAACUGGGGCUAAUACCGGAUAGGAGCUCCUGCUGCAUGGUGGGGGUUGGAAAGUUUCGGCGGUUGGGGAUGGACUCGCGGCUUAUCAGCUUGUUGGUGGGGUAGUGGCUUACCAAGGCUUUGACGGGUAGCCGGCCUGAGAGGGUGACCGGCCACAGUGGGACUGAGAUACGGGCCAGACUCCUACGGGAGGCAGCAGUGGGGAAUAUUGCACAAUGGGCGGAAGCCUGAUGCAGCAACGCCGCGUGCGGGAUGACGGCCUUCGGGUUGUAAACCGCUUGCGCCUGUGACGAAGCGUGAGUGACGGUAAUGGGUAAAGAAGCAACGGCUAACUACGUG
This 468-nucleotide ribosomal RNA is filed under the name uncultured bacterium. Its description in RNAcentral is "partial 16S ribosomal RNA". It matches the Rfam family "Bacterial small subunit ribosomal RNA", at positions 28 to 507 of the family's 1533-position model. The record is from RNAcentral.